UUCUGGCAUGAAUUAUGGCCUUACUCUUUUCCAUCUAUUGAUUUUGCUUACUGCUCUGUCUUUUCGUUGGGUCAUUGUUUUUUUCCUUCCUUGUAGCAUCUCUUCUCAUGUUCGGUGUCAUUCUGGAUGGAUUUUGAUGAAAUAAACUUCAGCAGGCCUAACCAAUCCUCAGGUUUAAAAUGAACUGAAAGAGUUAUCUUGUAUAAAAACUGAGCUCAACCUGUGAACCAUCAUUAUCCAAUUAUCACUGCAAAUUGAACCUCACCUUUAUAUGGCUUGAGUUUGUUGCAAUAGAUAAUAGUUUGAGGUUGAUCUCAUAACUUAUCUCUUCAAUAUAUUGUGUUCUGUUCUCCAUGUUGAAUAAAUUAUAUUACUGCUGACCUUUUGAUCCCUUUUUAUUUGUCUUCUAACAUGAGAUUCAAGGUAUGCAUCUGCUGUUUGAUAUGUUAUAUAAGUACCACGUUAGACUGGAAGUGCAUACAAUCAAAUUUGAUUGGUUUAAGCAACCCUAUUGAGCUCUUCCUAUUCCCUCAAAUUUGACCGUUUUGAUGCUUAAGCAUUGCAUACCCAAAACCCAGAGUCUGUUUCACGUUGACUAGAUUGUUCAAAGCAUUGCUUUUGGCUUGACUGCUUUCAUCCUCGCUUUACUCAUUCAGUUAUAUCAUUUAUUACUGUGUAGCCUUAGAUGUACAGGGGAAAACAAAGAGAUAAAGAUAGGUCUGCAUUCAUUGUUGUAUCUUAGAGCAUAGAUAUGAUCUUUGUGUUUCUAUAUGAAGAGGAUCUCUUUGAGAUA
Gossypium raimondii (Peruvian cotton) is the source of this 793-nucleotide long non-coding RNA. RefSeq lists it as uncharacterized. The record is from RefSeq and is a predicted model, not a curated record. The transcript has 2 exons. NCBI's taxonomy places the organism in Eukaryota, Viridiplantae, Streptophyta, Magnoliopsida, Malvales, Malvaceae.